UAGUCCACGCCGUAAACGAUGGAUACUAGGUGUUCGGCAGAUUAUCCUGCUGAGUACCGUAGUUCACGCAUUAAGUAUCCCGCCUGGGGAGUACGGUCGCAAGGCUAAAACUCAAAGGAAUUGACGGGGGCCCGCACAAGCGGUGGAGUAUGUGGUUUAAUUCGAAGCAACGCGAAGAACCUUACCUGGUCUUGACAUCCUGUGGCGAUGCUAGAGAUAGUAUUUUCCCUUCGGGGACGCAGUGACAGGUGCUGCAUGGCUGUCGUCAGCUCGUGUUGUGAAAUGUUGGGUUAAAGUCCCGCAACGAGCACAACCCCUGUCCUUAGUUGCCAGCAUUAAAGUUGGGGACUCUAGGGAGACUGCCGGUGUUAAACCGGAGGAAGGCGGGGAUGACGUCAAAGUCCGCAUGGCCCUUACGACCAGGGCUACACACGUACUACAAAUGGCAAAGACAAAACCGACUGCGAAGCAGUAAAUGUGGAGCUAAAUCGGUAAAAACAAUUAGUCUCAGUCCGGAUUGAAGUACUGCAA
This 531-nucleotide ribosomal RNA is filed under the name uncultured bacterium. RNAcentral describes it as "bacterial SSU rRNA". It matches the Rfam family "Bacterial small subunit ribosomal RNA", at positions 791 to 1310 of the family's 1533-position model. The record is from RNAcentral.